ACAUAUAUACGUGCUAUAAAUGUGUAACGGUUAUUGUUAAGGUGUUGGUUGCCAGAAUGCAAGAUGGAAGAAGAACAGUGAUUGAAGUUGUAAAGAAAUGUUUAUUUACUGUUACUUUGUAUAUAUCCAAAACCACGACGAGUUGGUAUGUAUAAUCAGUAAAUGGAAAAGCAUGCGAGGAAAAAAAGAGUUAAUUUCGGCUUGUAUAUGUG
Long non-coding RNA from Octopus sinensis (East Asian common octopus), 212 nucleotides. RefSeq lists it as uncharacterized. The transcript has 3 exons. The record is from RefSeq and is a predicted model, not a curated record. Lineage: Eukaryota; Metazoa; Mollusca; Cephalopoda; Octopoda; Octopodidae.